This is a long non-coding RNA of Phyllostomus discolor (pale spear-nosed bat), 3173 nucleotides long. RefSeq lists it as uncharacterized. The transcript has 3 exons. Lineage: Eukaryota; Metazoa; Chordata; Mammalia; Chiroptera; Phyllostomidae. The record is from RefSeq and is a predicted model, not a curated record.
UCUGGCAGUUCUCUGCCGGAAGUGCUGUUUCCAGGGCCAGGUUCUGGGAGCUGCAGCCGGACAGUCGUUGAGAUGUGUGGACAUGGACACGAGGUGCAAGCACUGUGUUGGUUUGACCCUUCCGAGGACUGGCAAAGUCUUAGACGCCUAAGUAGUUUCUGCUGAUGAGGACAGCACAUAUGGCCAGUGCUUUCCACGGGGGCUGUGGGAGAUGAACAGGAGGGCGGCUUGGUUUGCUUUGGCUGUUACCCCCGUCCUCUCUUGUGAGAGGUGGGGACUGAUGGAGACGCCUCCUCUGUCUCUCCCCUUUCCCCUCCCUGCUCCUCUCCACCCCUAGCAGUGUCCCACAGCGUCAGCGGCUCCUCCCGCCCUGGGAAGGAAUGGAAUGUGUCCUUUCUCCCCGUGGCUUUAUCACCAAUCUUCCUGUCUUUCAAAGCAGGGCCUGACAAGCGUGAUUUCUCAUCUCCAGGUGUGAAGGAAAUUGCCCCAUUUGGGAUUUUACUGUGCAGAUGGUUUGCCCAAGGCCUCAUGGCAGUUUGGGUUGAAAAAGUAAGCAAUCAUAACAAAAGGAAGAGGGGUCCCAGAGGCAUGGGCAGAGGUAUGGAGCCAAUUGGAGGGCCUGAAGGCUGGCAAGGAAGGAGAGGAGGAGAGUUCAUUGUUGCUGAAGUGAUCACAACCAAAUAAGAAACAGGCCUGCGGGAACCACAGAGACUUGAACUCCUGAACUCUUGGUUUUGCUCCAUUGUGCGACUUCAGGCAAGUUACCCCACACACUUCUAGGCCUCAGUGAGCUCAGAAUAAAACGGGGGCCUGUCACCUGUGAAGUUCCUUGCAGCUCUGACAUCUUAUUCUGAGGCUCUGAGCAAAAGAGACAAACUUCCCACUUUUGUUCCUUCCUGAGAUGUGAGCUCCCCAAAGUCUGGGGGCCACAGCUAUGUCCUGGGUCCUGCCUAGGAGUGCCCAGUGAGCAGGGACCUGGGGGUAGGAAAGAAAGGGAGGUGGGAUGGGUGAAGUGAACAACAGACCCAGCUGCAAACAUGUUGAAGACAGCCUUGCAGAAGACUAAGACUAGCCCAAAGUGAAGGGUGACACUUGGCACACCAGUCUUCUAGAACAAACGGUGCUGCCCAGAGGCAGCCCUACCGACUUGACACAUGAGCAGGUGAAGCUGAGGAAGCUGAGACAGCUCAAGAGGAAUUUUUCCUGCCAACAUGUACACACCCACCAGCUUCAUGCCCUCUUUUGGGUCUUCGGUCCUGUCCUCCUAUUUAUGGACUCCUCCCACAGCCCCCCAAUCUUUUCUGAUUACAUCAAUAGAUGGAGGCUCUAACCCCUGCUCCAGGACCCAUUUUCUUGUGUUGAUUGUCUUCGCUGAUGAAGCCAAGACCAGCUGUAUGCCUCCCUCUGUCCUUCCCCACAACACAGAAUGACCUUGUCAGUGAAUAAAGGAUUAUCCGCUGUUUCUCAGAGUGGCAUGAUGUUGGGUAAAAAUCCGAAGGAAUUUCUGACAAGCUACCAUAUAGAUGAAACUUGAAGACAUUAUGCUAAGUGAAAUAAGCCAGUCACAAAAUGAUAAAUAUUGUAUCAUUCCUCUUUUGAGGUCCUUAGAGUUGUCAAACUCUUAGAGACAGAAAGGAGAAUAGAGUUUUCCAGGAAUGGGGAGUUAGAGUUUAAUGGGGACAGAGUUUCAGUUUGGGAAGAUGAAAAAAAUUUCUGGGGGUGGAUGGCUGUGAAGGUUGUACUCAGUGUGAAUGUGUUUAAUGCCACAGACCUGUAGUGGUUUAAACGGUCAAUUUUAUGUUAUGUACCUAUUUCACCGCAUUUUUUAAGUGCACUGCUAAAUCCCCGCAUGAGGACCUAGUUUUGUUCUCCACUGGGUUCUUUUAGCCAGGCCGUCGAGUUCUGGAUGCCGACUAGUCUUUGGUUUAUUGUACUUACCACGCAGUCUGGGGAAUUCCCAUUUGCAUAGUUAAUGGGAUAUGUUCGUACUUGACUGAGUUUUGAUUAGCUGAUGCUUUUUUGUAUGGUAGCCAUCCCUGGGUUCUUGAUGUCUCUCACCAUACGGAACAGUGCCACACUCACCAGCACCCGAAGGAGGUGCUUUGGAAACUCAGGGUAGGAAGGGGUGGAUUUGGACGGUAAUGCAGGAGGACAGAAAGAACUGGGAUCGAUAGGAGUGUGAAGCUGUGCUCUAAUGGCCAAGGAAGGGGAAGAGACAGUAGGGAGAAAACAGUGAACAGGAGCUCAGGAUCCCUGUGGGAUGGUGAGUACACUUCACUGCAGCCUGCCAACUCUGAGUGAAUGACUCACCCGAGCCUUCCACAGCACCAGACUCUGUCAAAGCCAAAGUUCAUUGAGAACUCAGGAAAAGGAGGUUCUCUUAUCUCAUUCACUCUCUGUCUCUAUCAAUCUAUGUCACUUCCCAUCGCCCCUUGCCAUUGGCACCAGGAGCUUCAGUGCCAGGGGCAGCCUGCUGAUUAAUUACCCUUGGCCUGUGAGCGCAGGUGUGCAUAUGUCAAGGUUUCCAUGCCUGGGGAAAAUCAGGUUUGGGCUCUGAUGGCAUCCCUGCUGGUCCAGAUUCCAAAAGCCUUUCUGCUUAGGAUUUUUCUGGGACAUCAGAUAACUGUGCCACUAUUUCGUUUAGCAUUUAUUGGGCACUGACUUCAGAGCAAGGAGUGAAAUUUGAAAGUCACCUAUUCCUGUGCUCCUGUCCGUGUGCAGGUGAACCACUAGGGGAUCUUGUUAAAACCCAGCUUCUGAUUCAGUAGGUCUUGGGUGAGGCGGCACCUGAGGUUCCACAUCUCUAACACUCCUACGUGAGGCCGGUUGGAGCUGCUGAGUCCUGAACCACACUUCAAGUAGCAAGAAUCUAGCCCAGCAAAUCAGAGCCCUGACUACACAUCAGAAUCACCUGGUGAUCUUUUGCAAAACGUGGUGGCGUGGGCUUCACUUCCAAAUAUUACUAUUUACUUGGCCUGGGUACAGCCAGUCUUUGCCUAGAAACCUCCCCAGUUGAUUCUAGUGAGCAACGGGUGUUGAAAACUACAGGUCUUAUCAAAUACCUUGACUUUACAGUUUUUCAUUAAAAUCAUCGGAAAAAAUCCACCUUCAGUACCCCACCUGUUGCCCUGGAUACCUGGGAUUUGAUUUCCUGCUGUAGAAGGUUAGCUAUU